This 3703-nucleotide long non-coding RNA is filed under the name Homo sapiens (human). Its description in RNAcentral is "HSALNT0142476". The record is from RNAcentral. Lineage: Eukaryota; Metazoa; Chordata; Mammalia; Primates; Hominidae.
AGAGCACAGAUGAUGUCUCAAUCAUCAUUGUGUCCGCAAUGUCAAGAAAGCACAAUUCUCAUCACAUAGCAAGUCCUCCAGAAAUAGACUGGAACACGGAUAACAAAUACCUGCUGGGUUUGCUGCCACUACUACUUAAUCCUUCCUCUAUAGCUGGCAUUGCUAAUCACUCAUGACACUUUCCUGCUGAGCCCACAUGUAGACUCAGAUGGCUACAGGCAGUAACCACCAAUUGAUCAGAGCUGGCACACAAGAUGGAACCUAUUUGCAAUCCCUGGUCUAGAACAUUGUACCAUCUCUACUGAGCUGCUGCUUUGGGACUGACUUUACCAGGAGGCUCACCACAGGGGGUUGGAGUAGUCCUAGAAGGUGAAUAAAUGGCAGAGCCCACAUGGCAUACAAGAGGACAAGGUUUGUCACUCACAGGUUCUGGAAGGAAAGGUACAAGGAGCUGACAUGAACCUGAUUUUUAACCUGAAGCAGACAGAGUUGGGACCAGCUGGCCUGCAGUCCUGUGAGCAAGAAAUCGAUGUGCAUACUCAUGAGUAAACCAUAAACAUUUGCUGUUAUAACCCAGGAAGCUUUGGGAGUUGAUUUUUAUGUGGUGUUAUGGCAACAAUUGUUGAUGAAUGUGGGUAUACAGUAUUGGAAGUUCUCAUGUGUCUUUGAUGGCCAGCCUCUCAGUGCUUACAGAGCUCCUCAGCCUCACCAGAUAUUUCCCACUUGAAUAAUGAAGUUGUAUGGUUGGGAAUAGACAUUUUGGCUAUUUGGGUCAAUAGGUUUAGGACCUUUGGAGGAUUCAAGACUGGUAGAAAACCACAGCAUGGUCUAAGAUGCAGGUGUUCAUGCCUGCAGGUAAGUAGAUGCAUCAUUAACUUCAAUAAUAAUAAAUAAAAUUUAAAGAGAUUUUUCGAUUAUCAUAAACUGAAUGAACUAAAAUUAACUUUCUAACAAAUAGCCACAAAUUUCUAGCGUGUUUAUCUUUCCCAUAUGUUUCCCAGCUCUGCUAAGUUGGAAGCCUCAAAACCAUCAACCAAUAAAUCAUUCCUUGGGUUUCACUUUGGGGACCAAUUAAAACUAUCAACAUGUUUUCUUCCAUUACACUGGGAGUUUUAUCUCCAGCUGUUGGGAUCUGAGCUUCUAAAAGUAUGAAGCAUGACUACCCAGGGAAAAGGCACGUGAGACAAUUGGAGGAAAAUAGACUCUAUUGAAAGCUAGUUUAUGUAAGCUUAGUGCUUCCACCCUCCUCACUUCAUUCAGAAGGCACAAGCUUUACUAAACAUGUGGUAAAUAAUACAGCUGGCACCACAGCAGGAAAGGUGCUGCCCCUAAACCUGGAGGGAGAGCUCCUGGCAGAUAAUCCAAGGGCUGGUAAUUUAUCACUUAUGCAAACACAGCACCUCUUGUGGGUCUCCUUUUACAUCUCCUGUUCUGUGAAACUUUCCACUGAAGACUUGGAUAAAUGUUUUCCAGAUGGUAUCAAUCAUGGAGUUACCUACUAAUAGGAAUCAAGGAAAAGUCAUUGAAUUAAUUAGCAAGUCAAACAGGAAAGGAAGAAGGACUGUGCUUGAAAGUAGAAAAAGAAGAGACCACUUGGAAUUAUCUAAUCAUCUAGAAACAAGGUCAUUCAGGAAAAGGGGGCUUGAUUAAGCAUCAGGAAACCUGAGACCUGGCCAACAGCCUGGUUCCUCCAAAUCACAGGCUUUGGAGUCUAACAGAUAGAGGUUAGAAUCUCAGCUCAGUCUCUAACUAUGCAUAGUGGGCAAGAUUCUUGGCCUCUCUGAGCCUCUGUUUCCUCAUAUGCUAAGGGAAAAAAGGAUGAAAUAUGCAAACUAUGUAAUACCAUUUUACAGACUUAGAUGUGUAGCAUGUGAAGCACUUAGCAAAGUGGCUACCAAUAGGCGGCACUUAAAAAAAAAAUUCUUUACUCUCACCUGUGAUCAGUUAAAUGAUUGGAAAACUAUUCACCCCUGUCUGAAACUACACCAUUGCCAUGAUCACAUCUUGAGCAGAGUGCACUUUCCCACUCCUUGCUUUGGGCUGACUACAUGAUUUGCUUAGACCAAGCAAUGUGGGUGGAAGUGACAAUGGGCUCGUUUUUAGACCAGGACUUAAGAGGCAUUAUGUUUCUACUUGCCCUUUGCACCUCCCCCAUCACCACAAGAAAAAUAUACCCAGGCUGUCUUGCUGGUCCAAGAAGGAGGAUAAAAGACACGAGAAGCAAAGCUGCCAACCCCAGGAAGCAAAGCUUCCAAACCCCUCCCAACACGAAGACAUGCGAGUGAUAAUAAAUAAUGGUUGUUUUUAGCCACUGAGUUUUGACGUGGAUUAAUUUCAGCUGCUGUAUCUCACAGAUUAUGUUAUCUCACAUUCCUUCUCUGGGUUCUAAUUGCAUAUCUGCUCAGGACUUACUAAAUGAAUAUCUUUUACAAUGCUGAUAUUAGAGGUAAGGCCCAGAAAAUGGCAAGCUAAAGAUGUCCCAGAAACUUCUACCGUAUAGUUGGCUUAAAUCUUAAACUCCAAACUUAGAUGUGUAAGAAAAGUAAUUUAACUUGGUUAUGACAAGACCUUUUUAUUUUUUAACAGUUUUAUUACAAAUCCCCUAUUUUGCUGGUUAGCAGAAACAUCUCUCAGUCAAUUCAGGGUUUCUCCUCCCUUAAGGAUUGGGUUUAACUUUAGGAGGCUCUGCAUGAUGAGGAGGUGGAAGGUGUUGGGAGGGAGAACCAGGGCACUGUCGUUCCUGUUGUUGAUCUCUGCAGUGCUCUCUCUUGGUCUACGUAAGUGAGGAUCUAAAAUCUGAUUCAUUCUUGGGUAAUCUUCUUUUAGAAGCCCAUGAUUAGACCCAACUGGAGGAAGUUUGGAGCUUCUCUCAGACAUGUAAGAAUUGUUCUGAAGAAUCUGCAUCUUGUUGGGUGAAGGACUUCAGAAUGUGCAAUAAAAAUGCAAUAGUCUUGGACCUAUGUAACUGGAAGGAACUGGUGGACAAGCUCUUACUGCUUCUCCAGGUUCUCACAAGAAAGCAGGCAUGGAUUCCUUUUGCACAGCUCCUCCAGGCUUUCUGGGCCCUGUCAUUCCUUCUUCUAUCUUCUGGGUUGAGCAACAUGCAAUCUCCCCUUGUGCAGAAGCCCAAAUAGCUACUGAAAAUGUGUCCUCUCUGACUUUCCCCAUUUCUUGAACUCUGAGAGACUUUUUCUAGUAUCAGUUCUGAGGAGCAUUGCUGUUUUCCUUCCUAUCAUCUGGAAGACCUAGACUUUAAAACUCAAAACCUGAGAAAAACUUCCUUUUUUUUCUCUCUUUUGUCUGGAUCAUCACUACCUUGAAAUACUAAAUUAGCAAAGUCCUAACUAGAAACUGAAUUGGCUAAAGAGUCAAGGAGCAACAGGUAAUUCCAAGAAAAACAACAGCAAACUUACAUCAGUUAACAUUUCAAAGCUAUUUUCCUUUGCAAUUUUGUGUAUCUGUUUUUAUGGAAUGCAAGAGAUAAUAGGCUAAAUGCUAUUUUGCAUAUGUGUUACAUUGGAUUUCUCACAUAUUCUACUACUUAACUCAAGAUGUUGAGUAAAUAAAUGAGUUAAUAAACUGGAAUUUCUAUAUCAGCUCUUGGUUCUAGUUAUGUUUCGUUUGUUUUGGAUUUUUUUUCUUUUUGAAUGCUUAUUCACUGGCCCAGCUGUAUUUAUGCCUAGAUUAACCAGAUACAUUGCCA